GCGCGCGUGGCAUAACGGUUAUUGCGCUUGCCUUCCACGCAGGAGGCCAGGGUUCGAUUCCUGGUCGCGGCU
Molecule: non-coding RNA, 72 nt
Organism: Ixodes scapularis (black-legged tick)
Lineage: Eukaryota; Metazoa; Arthropoda; Arachnida; Ixodida; Ixodidae
Source: Rfam